UACGAGGGGGGCAAGCGUUGUCCGGAUUUAUUGGGCGUAAAGAGCGUGUAGGCGGUCAGGUAGGUCGGUUGUGAAAACUGGAGGCUCAACCUUCAGAGGUCGACCGAAACCCCCUGGCUAGAGUCCGGGAGAGGAGAGUGGAAUUCCUGGUGUAGCGGUGAAAUGCGCAGAUAUCAGGAAGAACACCCGUGGCGAAAGCGGCUCUCUGGAACGGUACUGACGCUGAGACGCGAAAGCGUGGGGAGCGAACAGG
RNAcentral lists this ribosomal RNA (253 nucleotides) under uncultured bacterium. RNAcentral describes it as "partial 16S ribosomal RNA". It matches the Rfam family "Bacterial small subunit ribosomal RNA", at positions 524 to 776 of the family's 1533-position model. The record is from RNAcentral.